RNAcentral lists this ribosomal RNA (557 nucleotides) under uncultured bacterium. Its description in RNAcentral is "bacterial SSU rRNA". It matches the Rfam family "Bacterial small subunit ribosomal RNA", at positions 112 to 704 of the family's 1533-position model. The record is from RNAcentral.
AACGCGUGGGAAUCUGCCCUUGGGUACGGAAUAACUCAGGGAAAUUUGUGCUAAUACUGUAUAAUGUCUUCGGACCAAAGAUUCAUCGCCCAAGGAUGAGCCCGCGUAAGAUUAGCUAGUUGGUGGGGUAAAGGCCUACCAAGGCUACGAUCUUUAGCUGGUCUGAGAGGAUGAUCAGCCACACUGGGACUGAGACACGGCCCAGACUCCUACGGGAGGCAGCAGUGGGGAAUAUUGGACAAUGGGCGAAAGCCUGAUCCAGCAAUGCCGCGUGAGUGAUGAAGGCCUUAGGGUUGUAAAGCUCUUUUACCAGGGAUGAUAAUGACAGUACCUGGAGAAUAAGCUCCGGCUAACUCCGUGCCAGCAGCCGCGGUAAUACGGAGGGAGCUAGCGUUGUUCGGAAUUACUGGGCGUAAAGCGCGCGUAGGCGGUUUUUUAAGUCAGAGGUGAAAGCCCAGUGCUCAACACUGGAACUGCCUUUGAAACUGGAAAACUUGAAUCUUGGAGAGGUCAGUGGAAUUCCGAGUGUAGAGGUGAAAUUCGUAGAUAUUCGGAAG